CAUCUUUUUAAGUGGGAGAACUUGCACAAUUGGUGGCUGACUAAAUACUUUUUUGCCCCACUGUACAAAGGAAGCUUGUUUUUGCCAUUAUAUGAUGAGGGAUUUUAAAUUGUCUGUCUGGUGUUUCAGUGCCCCUCAAGAAAACCAGCCCUUCAACAAGAUGUUAUUCCUGAUCUAUAUAAUUUCCUCUCUCCAUCUCUUUCUUACUGAUGUCAGAUAUAGAUAACUACCUGGUCCACAGGAGGAUGGUGGCACCUUGAUUGGGAAGGAAGGGCUCGUGGUAAUGGCUGGAGCGGAAUUGGUAUAUUGGUAUCAAAUGUGUUUGAUGGAGCAGUGACAGAAUGGAGUGACCCUAAUGGCUCAGGCAUCGCUGUUCCUCUUCCUCUCUCAGCUCUUCUAAUGGGAGCCCGGUUGUUGGUCAUUCUACUGCAGCUCUGAGAAAACCGACUAUCACACUGGAUUCUAAGUCUGAUGCGUGUGAGCUCUCGAUAAAUGUUUUUUACUUUAUAUUAUAUCCUAAAUAAAUCAAUCGAAAUGAGAAAAUGCACAGGAACAAAGAAAAUGUUGACUUAAAAGGUUUUGCUCGCUUGCUGUGUUGUAGUGAAUGGAAAUGCAAUAUCAUUGAAACACAUUGUCACCAAGUGUGUGUAUGACAUUUUGAACAGUGCGACAACUAAUUAGGCAGCAAACAUAUUCUUCAUAGGAAUUUCACUGACUAUCUAUUUGACAGAGAUGUGUUAAUAUAUUAGUAUAUACAGUAUUAACAUGGUGAUAACCCCCUAACAGUACUAGCUAAGAGCAGAAAGUGAAAAUGUUACCCAUAGAAGAGACAGAGGAUAUGAUUGUAUUUACAGUGCAUUCGAAAAUUAUUCAGACCCCUUAAUUUUUCCCACAUCAAUCUACACACAAAACCCCCAUAAUGACAAAG
Molecule: long non-coding RNA, 928 nt
Organism: Oncorhynchus gorbuscha (pink salmon)
Lineage: Eukaryota; Metazoa; Chordata; Actinopteri; Salmoniformes; Salmonidae
Exons: 3
Source: RefSeq, a predicted model, not a curated record